This 250-nucleotide ribosomal RNA is filed under the name uncultured bacterium. Its description in RNAcentral is "partial 16S ribosomal RNA". It matches the Rfam family "Bacterial small subunit ribosomal RNA", at positions 57 to 305 of the family's 1533-position model. The record is from RNAcentral.
GCAAGUCGAGGGGUAACGAAGGGAGCUUGCUCCCUGUCGACGACCGGCGGACGGGUGAGUAAUGCACGAGAAUCUACCUUUUAGUGGGGGAUAGCUUGGAGAAAUCCAAAUUAAUACCGCAUAUUGCCUAAGGGUGAAAGAGGGGGACCGCAAGGCCUCUUGCUAGGAGAUGAGCUCGUGUGGGAUUAGCUAGUUGGUAAGGUAAAGGCUUACCAAGGCAACGAUCCCUAGCUGAUUUGAGAGGAUGAUC